GAUUAUCCUCUGUGCAGCAUACUCCUACGGGAGGCAGCAGUGGGGAAUAUUGCACAAUGGGCGCAAGCCUGAUGCAGCGACGCCGCGUGGGGGAUGAAGGCCUUCGGGUUGUAAACUCCUUUCAACCAUGACGAAGCGUAAGUGACGGUAGUGGUAGAAGMAGCACCGGCUAACUACGUGCCAGCAGCCGCGGUAAUAUGCCACCGGCCUAGGUAAUA
This 218-nucleotide ribosomal RNA is filed under the name uncultured bacterium. Its description in RNAcentral is "partial 16S ribosomal RNA". It matches the Rfam family "Bacterial small subunit ribosomal RNA", at positions 302 to 535 of the family's 1533-position model. The record is from RNAcentral.